The sequence is a ribosomal RNA, 450 nucleotides long. It matches the Rfam family "Bacterial small subunit ribosomal RNA", at positions 1045 to 1483 of the family's 1533-position model.
AUGGUGGUCGUCAGCUCGAGUCGAGAGAUGUUGGGUUAAGUCCCGCAACGAGCGCAACCCUUAAAUUUAGUUGCCAGCAUUUAGUUGGGCACUCAUAGGUUGACUGCCGGUGACAAACCGGAGGAAGGUGGGGAUGACGUCAAAUCAUCAUCCCCCCCAUGAUUUGGGGUACACCCCUGCUACAACGGACAACACAACAGGGCAGCUAAACCGCCGAGGUCAUCCAAAUCCCAACAAAGUUGUUCUCAGUUUGGAUUGUAGUUUGCAACUUGGCUACACGAAGGUGGAAGCUCUUGUAAUCGUAGAUCUGCCACGCUACGGUGAAUACGUUUCCGGGUGCUGUGUGACACACCGCCCGUCACAGCACGGGAGUUUGUUACACCCGGAACCGGGGGAGUUACCCCUUAGGGGGAGGGAGCGUGUGAAAGGUGGGCCAGAUGAUGGGGGUUC